This 501-nucleotide ribosomal RNA is filed under the name uncultured bacterium. Its description in RNAcentral is "bacterial SSU rRNA". It matches the Rfam family "Bacterial small subunit ribosomal RNA", at positions 30 to 528 of the family's 1533-position model. The record is from RNAcentral.
AUUGAACGCUGGCGGCAUGCCUUACACAUGCAAGUCGAACGGUAACGGGCCUUCGGGUGCCGACGAGUGGCGAACGGGUGAGUAAUGCAUCGGAACGUACCUUUCAGUGGGGGAUAACGUAGCGAAAGUUACGCUAAUACCGCAUAUUCUGUGAGCAGGAAAGCAGGGGAUCGCAAGACCUUGCGCUGAUUGAGCGGCCGAUGUCAGAUUAGCUAGUUGGUGAGGUAAAGGCUCACCAAGGCGACGAUCUGUAGCGGGUCUGAGAGGAUGAUCCGCCACACUGGAACUGAGACACGGUCCAGACUCCUACGGGAGGCAGCAGUGGGGAAUUUUGGACAAUGGGGGCAACCCUGAUCCAGCCAUGCCGCGUGAGUGAAGAAGGCCUUCGGGUUGUAAAGCUCUUUCAGACGGAAAGAAACGCAUCGGUGAAUACCCGGUGUGGAUGACGGUACCGUAAGAAGAAGCACCGGCUAACUACGUGCCAGCAGCCGGCGGUAACGG